Molecule: long non-coding RNA, 1622 nt
Organism: Oncorhynchus tshawytscha (Chinook salmon)
Lineage: Eukaryota; Metazoa; Chordata; Actinopteri; Salmoniformes; Salmonidae
Source: Ensembl
GGGAGAGGCAAGAUGGCUGACGCCGGGGAGCGCUUGAGCAAUGCAGGCAGUGUGGUGGUUCACAGUGGCCCCUGUGUUCGAAGGCUCAUGUUUGCAGACUUCCUGAUUAACCUGAUCCUGUGGGUGGAGGGCUUCUUGGCAGCCAUCCCCUUCAGCACGCUUGUGGCCAUCUUGGCUUUGUGGUUUGGCAUGUCUGGGCCCUUCACCUUUGUGGGCGCCUAGCCUACUUCGGCUUCAAAAUGCCUGUACUAUUUAAUGAAGCUGCCAGUUGAGGACUCGUCAUUUUGUAUUAGGUUCCCCAUCAGCUAACACCAUAACGCUAGCUAAUCUUCCUGGGGUCCAACACCAAUUAACAAAACAUUACAAACAACCACAAUCAAGACAUCAAACAUUCAACAAGUAUAAAAUACAGAUAAUUAAAAUACCUGACAGGAAACACAUUUAACAUUCUUGUGAGGCGUCUGUUUCUCAAACUAGACACUAAUGUACUUGUCCUUUUGCUCAGUUGUGCACCGGGGCCUCCCACUCCUCGUUCUAUUCUGGUUAGUGCCAGUUUGCGCAGUUCAGUGAAGGGAGUAGUACACAGCGUUGUACGAGAUCUUCAGUUUCUUGGCAAUUUCUCGCAUGGAAUAGCCUUCCUUUCUCAGAACAAGAAUAGACUGACGUGUUUCAGAAGAAAGUGUUUGUUUCUGGCACUCCUUGCAAACAGUGCAAUAAUAUUAAGCUAUAUCUAUUUACAUUAGGCUAUAGCCUACAAAUAGCUAUACCACGUAGUCGUAGGCCUAUUAGGCUAUAAGCCUACUGCAAAUUGUUGUUUGUUCCUGAACUGGCCGAAUGUCAGAGCUAUCCUUCAGCACCAGAAGUUGGUUCAACUUUAAUAUCAAUGCGUGAUCCUGGCAGUCCAUUCAGCACCACAGAGGGUGUUCCAACUCAUUAAAAUAACACUCAUCAAGAUCUGUUGCUUAUGCCUAAUAGGUCUGUGUGCUUAUGGAUAAUUCCUAUUUAAUUUCAUCUCAGCAAGGCCAAACGAGGAAAUGUAUAAUUUUAUAAUUUUUCAAGUUCAAAACGAAAAUUGGAUAUCAACUUGUUUUCUCGUUUGUGGUCUCCAAAAUUGUGCAUCGAAUAACAAAAGACAAAUGAUGACUAAAUGUAUCCUAUUUUAUUUUUGUACCUUGAAGUACACACCCCCUAAUAUAACAUUCAAGCACAGAUAGGACAAUGAGAGAUGGAGUGCCAUGCCUGUGGGAGAGGGCGUGCACAGAACUUAUCACAGUGCCUAAAGUGUCGGGCAGAGGGUCCACGAGAAACCCAGCACCUGGCGGUGAUGAAAGAUCUACCAUGACAAUUUUUUCCAGUGUUAAUGUUUCUGAAAGUUAAGCACACAAUAGCCUACAGUUACAGUAGAAGUCAAUGUGUUUGACAGUAAUCAAUAUGUUCCAUUAUAGGCCAUAGCAAGACGUGUUGUCACAGCUCAGGGAUAUCACUCGCAGAUGUGUUUAGAUCGACCAGUGGCCUGUUUGUUUGUCUUCAUUGAGUUUAGAACAAAAUUAAAAGCGUCGUUCAGUUGUGGCUUGUUAGCUCCAACAAAGACUUACUCAUGUACGUGUUCAUGUAUGUGUCUA